Non-coding RNA from Acanthosepion pharaonis, 100 nucleotides. The record is from the annotation of a GenBank genome assembly. NCBI's taxonomy places the organism in Eukaryota, Metazoa, Mollusca, Cephalopoda, Sepiida, Sepiidae.
CGGCGAAACACCAGUUCUCAUAUGAUCACCAAAGUUAAGCAAUGUUGAGCUUGGUCAGUACUAAGAUAGGUGACAACUUGAGAAUACCAGGUGCUGUAAG